UUUUAAACCCGAUGGGAACGAGCACGUAGGGCAAACCUAUGUGUUUGCCCGAAGUAAAGUGGACAGCGGGGCUACGC
RNAcentral lists this unclassified non-coding RNA (77 nucleotides) under Pedobacter xixiisoli. RNAcentral's name for it is "Flavo-1 RNA". The record is from RNAcentral. Lineage: Bacteria; Pseudomonadati; Bacteroidota; Sphingobacteriia; Sphingobacteriales; Sphingobacteriaceae.